AGAGUUUGAUCAUGGCUCAGAUUGAACGCUGGCGGCAUGCCUUACACAUGCAAGUCGAACGGCAGCACGGGAGCAAUCCUGGUGGCGAGUGGCGAACGGGUGAGUAAUAUAUCGGAACGUGCCCAGUCGUGGGGGAUAACGCAGCGAAAGCUGUGCUAAUACCGCAUACGAUCUAUGGAUGAAAGCGGGGGACUCGCAAGAGCCUCGCGCGAUUGGAGCGGCCGAUAUCAGAUUAGCUUGUUGGUGGGGUAAAAGCCCACCAAGGCGACGAUCUGUAGCUGGUCUGAGAGGACGACCAGCCACACUGGAACUGAGACACGGUCCAGACUCCUACGGGAGGCAGCAGUGGGGAAUUUUGGACAAUGGGCGCAAGCCUGAUCCAGCAAUGCCGCGUGCAGGAUGAAGGCCUUCGGGUUGUAAACUGCUUUUGUACGGAACGAAACGGCUCUUUCUAAUAAAGAGGGCUAAUGACGGUACCGUAAGAAUAAGCACCGGCUAACUACGUGCCAGCAGCCGCGGUAAUACGUAGGGUGCGAGCGUUAAUCGGAAUUACUGGGCGUAAAGCGUGCGCAGGCGGUUAUAUAAGACAGAUGUGAAAUCCCCGGGCUCAACCUGGGACCUGCAUUUGUGACUGUAUAGCUAGAGUACGGUAGAGGGGGAUGGAAUUCCGCGUGUAGCAGUGAAAUGCGUAGAUAUGCGGAGGAACACCGAUGGCGAAGGCAAUCCCCUGGACCUGUACUGACGCUCAUGCACGAAAGCGUGGGGAGCAAACAGGAUUAGAUACCCUGGUAGUCCACGCCCUAAACGAUGUCAACUGGUUGUUGGGUCUUCACUGACUCAGUAACGAAGCUAACGCGUGAAGUUGACCGCCUGGGGAGUACGGCCGCAAGGUUGAAACUCAAGGAAUUGACGGGGACCCG
This 920-nucleotide ribosomal RNA is filed under the name uncultured bacterium. Its description in RNAcentral is "bacterial SSU rRNA". It matches the Rfam family "Bacterial small subunit ribosomal RNA", at positions 8 to 923 of the family's 1533-position model. The record is from RNAcentral.